UUCUGCUUCUGCGCGUGCACUACAGCAGGGAGAAGGAGGAGAAAAAGGGAAAGAUAAGCUAUUCAGCCCAAGAAACAUUUUGCCUUUCCACCAAUUUCCUUUAUACCAUCUGAGCUUGGAUGUCCUUCCUUUGCCUCAACGUAUACCUGGAAUAUAAAUUCCUCCUUAACCUUCUAUCUAGCCCUCAAAGGUGCCCCCAUGCUGACCAAGUCUUACCUGUCCUUGGAGACUAUUAUCAGGUUCUGCCUAGCACCAGCAAUGCCAACAUCCCACGAGAAAAGCUGUUCUUGCUGUACUUUUGGAAGCUAGGACUUCCAGAAUGAGAUGCUGAGCAUUUAGUUUAUUGGACCCAUCCUUUGUGACUGGGAUACUUCUCUAAGCCGAAAUAAGUCCUGUCUGCAUGCAUCUUGCAGCAGUGACAGCUGCAGGCUGGCACAUGUCUCUGCUGAAUCAGCAGGUCACUGGGGACCAACAACUCCGUUCAUAUACCAUAAACUACCUAAAAAAUGGCAAUCCACAUAGCAGACCUAAGGGCAAGCAGCUACUGCUGGAAAAGCAGCAAUCCUCAUCUGCAACAUAAAAAAGGGCUGUGAUGCACAGUCUUGCACUGAGACACUUGCUGUAAGGAAAAUACAGAUCUCACCCAUGUACAGAUCAUCUUCACACCAUAUGGACUUUCCUCUUGGGAAAAGAGUUUGUGCCUUUGACCAAACCACCUGAGAACAUGUGCAAACUUGCUGUGUAUUAAAAAAACAACCCAAAACCCCAUUACCUGUAUAUCCCUGAUUGCCACUCAUCAUCUUAUACCAGAAACCACAGGGAAAAUCAUUAAAUAGGUAUAACCAGUCCUGGAAGAAGAACCUGUCUUGAAAGAAACGUUCCCUGGGCUUUCUGCUGUCUAGCUUUCAAGCACAGCCCCCCUGCGCACCCCCAUCCCUAAUAUACCUCCUGUGUGAGAAAACUACUCUCGUGGAAAUAACGCUGACAAUGCUAAACAACCGAUGCCUCAGGAGAAGGACAAUAUAAGCCAGCGACUCUAGGGGAAGAGCAUUUCACGUGAAACUACCACAUCAUCUCUGACCUCUUGCAGGUCCUCAUCCCAUCCCCAUCCACAGGGGAGAACUACAAAACACUCUCAAAAGGAGAGCCGAGGAAUUAAAAUUUGUAACUCUCCCUAAUAUGGGAAAUCACGGACGCAGUAGAAGCAUUAGUUUUAUGACACCUUAAAAUUUUCCCCACUUGCUGCUUUCUACUAACACUGCACUGUUCCCUCUGGCAAUAGCUACCUGUCUCUCUCUCCAUCCCACAGGACCAGUGACCUCAUCCCUAGCAAAAAGCCUCCUCUGCUCUACACAUGCCAAACCCCAUUUUCUCUCCAAAUUAUGAAGUUGAUUGAUAAAACUGAGCUGUUUCCAACCUGUAUUUCACUUGGAGUCAUCAGCUUCUGUUUCGGAUCUGAAGAAGGGUGUGCCUCUUCAACAGCCUGGUCUGUUUUUUUCCCUGGCAACUGGUCCAAUAGAAAAUGUUACUGAUCCAUGAAAACUCCGUCUCAUUUUUAAAUCCUGAUUUCAUUAAAACUUCAUUAAUUGGAGGCCUAAGAGUGAGAGGGAAAAAUGCAGCCGGCCUUUUCUUCCAACUUAGGCCUGACAGUCUGACACACAAGCCUGAGAAGGGAGUAUGAAAAAUCGCAUCUACCUUUCUGACCUAUAUUCUCCUUGGAAGAAAGGGUCUGUUGCGAGAGGUGAAAGAGUAGCAAUACCCCAAGUUUUGGGCUGGCCUUCUGUCUAGAAGGGAAUGAUCCCCUUUGAUCUUUCAUUAGUCCUUGAAUCCAGUUUCAUUACAAAUGUUACUUAAUGUUUAUUAUUCGCCCAAGAGGCUUGGGUCAAUUGCAGCAUUAUCAUCCCAUCCCGUCUGCUAAAAACUGCCUUCUUAUGAAAAAUAAAAAGAUAAUACACUUCAGAGAGAGACUAAAAUCAAUAUUGUAACUCUUGGUCGCAGGAGGCACCAGGCCCUGUCCUGUAAAGCAAAG
This is a long non-coding RNA of Dromaius novaehollandiae (emu), 2029 nucleotides long. RefSeq lists it as uncharacterized. The transcript is spliced from 3 exons. The record is from RefSeq and is a predicted model, not a curated record. NCBI's taxonomy places the organism in Eukaryota, Metazoa, Chordata, Aves, Casuariiformes, Dromaiidae.